UCCUUGGUGGCUCAGACUGUGAAGAAUCUGCCUACAAUGCAGGAGACCUGGGUUCAAUCCCUAGUUUAGGAG
RNAcentral lists this transfer RNA (72 nucleotides) under Ovis aries (sheep). It matches the Rfam family "tRNA". From Rfam's summary of the family: Transfer RNA (tRNA) molecules are approximately 80 nucleotides in length. Their secondary structure includes four short double-helical elements and three loops (D, anti-codon, and T loops). Lineage: Eukaryota; Metazoa; Chordata; Mammalia; Artiodactyla; Bovidae. The record is from Rfam by way of RNAcentral.